UGGGGAAUAUUGCACAAUGGGGGAAACCCUGAUGCAGCGACGCCGCGUGAAGGAAGAAGUAUCUCGGUAUGUAAACUUCUAUCAGCAGGGAAGAAAGUGACGGUACCUGACUAAGAAGCCCCGGCUAACUACGUGCCAGCAGCCGCGGUAAUACGUAGGGGGCAAGCGUUAUCCGGAUUUACUGGGUGUAAAGGGAGCGUAGACGGAGCAGCAAGUCUGAUGUGAAAGGCGGGGGCUCAACCCCCGGACUGCAUUGGAAACUGCUGAUCUUGAGUACCGGAGGGGUAAGCGGAAUUCCUAGUGUAGCGGUGAAAUGCGUAGAUAUUAGGAGGAACACCAGUGGCGAAGGCGGCUUACUGGACGGUAACUGACGUUGAGGCUCGAAAGCGUGGGGAGCAAACA
Molecule: ribosomal RNA, 402 nt
Filed under: uncultured bacterium
Lineage: Bacteria
Description: bacterial SSU rRNA
Rfam family: Bacterial small subunit ribosomal RNA
Source: RNAcentral